AAUACCGCAUACGAUCUAAGGAUGAAAGUGGGGGAUCGCAAGACCUCAUGCUCCUGGAGCGGCCGAUAUCUGAUUAGCUAGUUGGUGGGGUAAAGGCCUACCAAGGCAUCGAUCAGUAGCUGGUCUGAGAGGACGACCAGCCACACUGGAACUGAGACACGGUCCAGACUCCUACGGGAGGCAGCAGUGGGGAAUUUUGGACAAUGGGCGCAAGCCUGAUCCAGCAAUGCCGCGUGAGUGAAGAAGGCCUUCGGGUUGUAAAGCUCUUUUGUCAGGGAAGAAACGGGUGGAGCUAAUAUCUCUGCCUAAUGACGGUACCUGAAGAAUAAGCACCGGCUAACUACGUGCCAGCAGCCGCGGUAAUACGUAGGGUGCAAGCGUUAAUCGGAAUUACUGGGCGUAAAGCGUGCGCAGGCGGUUUUGUAAGUCUGUCGUGAAAUCCCCGGGCUCAACCUGGGAAUUGCGAUGGAGACUGCAAGGCUAGAAUCUGGCAGAGGGGGGUAGAAUUCCACGUGUAGCAGUGAAAUGCGUAGAGAUGUGGAGGAACACCGAUGGCGAAGGCAGCCCCCUGGGUCAAGAUUGACGCUCAUGCACGAAAGCGUGGGGAGCAAACAGGAUUAGAUACCCUGGUAGUCCACGCCCUAAACGAUGUCUACUAGUUGUCGGGUCUUAAUUGACUUGGUAACGCAGCUAACGCGUGAAGUAGACCGCCUGGGGAGUACGGUCGCAAGAUUAAAACUCAAAGGAAUUGACGGGGACCCGCACAAGCGGUGGAUGAUGUGGAUUAAUUCGAUGCAACGCGAAAAACCUUACCUACCCUUGACAUGGACGGAACCCUUGAG
This 842-nucleotide ribosomal RNA is filed under the name Janthinobacterium svalbardense. Its description in RNAcentral is "bacterial SSU rRNA". It matches the Rfam family "Bacterial small subunit ribosomal RNA", at positions 165 to 1003 of the family's 1533-position model. The record is from RNAcentral. Lineage: Bacteria; Pseudomonadati; Pseudomonadota; Betaproteobacteria; Burkholderiales; Oxalobacteraceae.